CCUACGGGCGGCAGCAGUAGGGAAUAUUGCUCAAUGGGGGAAACCCUGAAGCAGUAACGCCGCGUGGAGGAUGAAGGUUUUCGGAUUGUAAACUCCUUUUGUUAGAGAAGAUAAUGACGGUAUCUAACGAAUAAGCAACGGCUAACUCCGUGCCAGCAGCCGCGGUAAUACGGAGGGUGCAAGCGUUACUCGGAAUAACUGGGCGUAAAGCGCGCGGAGGGGGGAUAGCAAGUCAGAUGUGAAAUCCUAUGGCUUAACCAUAGAACUGCAUUUGAAACUGUUAUUCUAGAGUAUGGGAGAGGUAGGUGGAAUUCUUGGUGUAGGGGUAAAAUCCGUAGAGAUCAAGAGGAAUACUCAUUGCGAAGGCGACCUGCUAGAACAUAACUGACGCUGAUGCGCGAAAGCGUGGGGAGCAAACAGGAUUAGAUACCCCAGUAGUC
Molecule: ribosomal RNA, 440 nt
Filed under: uncultured bacterium
Lineage: Bacteria
Description: partial 16S ribosomal RNA
Rfam family: Bacterial small subunit ribosomal RNA
Source: RNAcentral